RNAcentral lists this ribosomal RNA (1203 nucleotides) under metagenome. RNAcentral describes it as "bacterial SSU rRNA". It matches the Rfam family "Bacterial small subunit ribosomal RNA", at positions 307 to 1498 of the family's 1533-position model. The record is from RNAcentral.
CCCACACUGGCACUGUGAUACGGGCCAGACUCCUACGGGAGGCAGCAGUGAGGAAUAUUGCCCAAUGGGCGAAAGCCUGGGGCAGCAACGCCGCGUGGGUGAUGAAGGUCUUCGGAUCGUAAAGCCCUGUCGGGGGGGAAGAACCCUUGUCUGGUUAAUAUCCAGGCAGGCUGACGGUACCCCCUAUAGGAAGCACCGGCCAACUACGUGCCAGCAGCCGCGGUAAUACGUAGGGUGCUAGCGUUAUCCGGAAUCACUGGGCGUAAAGAGCUCGUAGGCGGUUAAGUAAGUCGCAUGUUAAAGACCCGGGCUUAACCCGGGGAAUGCGUGCGAUACUGCUUGACUAGAGGACGGGAGAGGAAAGCGGAAUUCCUGGUGUAGCGGUGAAAUGCAUAGAUAUCAGGAAGAACACCAGUGGCGAAGGCGGCUUUCUGGACCGUUUCUGACGCUGAGGAGCGAAAGCUAGGGGAGAGAACGGGAUUAGAUACCCCGGUAUUCCUAGCCGUAAACGAUGGGCACUAGGUGUGGGAGGUAUCGACCCCUCCCGUGCCGCAGCUAACGCAUUAAGUGCCCCGCCUGGGGAGUACGGUCGCAAGAUUAAAACUCAAAGGAAUUGACGGGGGCCCGCACAAGCGGUGGAGCAUGUGGUUUAAUUCGACGCAACGCGAAGAACCUUACCUGGGUUUGACAUCUGGGGAAUCCCCUAGAAACAGGGGAGUGCCCUUCGGGGAACCCCAAGACAGGUGCUGCAUGGCUGUCGUCAGCUCGUGCCGUGAGGUGUUGGAUUAAGUUCCGCAACGAGCGCAACCCUUAUCCUUAUUUGCCAUCAUUCAGUUGGGGACUAUAAGGAGACUGCCAGUUUAUGACUGGAGGAAGGUGGGGAUGACGUCAAGUCAGCAUGGCCUUUAUGCCCAGGGCUACACACGUGCUACAAUGGCCGGUACAACGGGUUGCAACACUGCGAGGUGAAGCGAAUCCCUUAAAGCCGGCCCCAGUUUGGAUUGGAGUCUGCAAUUCGACUCCAUGAAGUUGGAAUCGCUAGUAACCGUGGAACAGCACGCCGCGGUGAAUACGUUCUCGGGCCUUGUACACACCGCCCGUCACACCACCCGAGUCUGGUGCACCCGAAGUCGCUGACCCAACCUUAUGGGAAGGAAGUGCCUAAGGUGUGCCCGGUGAGGAGGGUGAAGUCGUAACAAGGUA